RNAcentral lists this transfer RNA (72 nucleotides) under Bos taurus (domestic cattle). It matches the Rfam family "tRNA". From Rfam's summary of the family: Transfer RNA (tRNA) molecules are approximately 80 nucleotides in length. Their secondary structure includes four short double-helical elements and three loops (D, anti-codon, and T loops). Lineage: Eukaryota; Metazoa; Chordata; Mammalia; Artiodactyla; Bovidae. RNAcentral also lists the same sequence under 1 other name. The record is from Rfam by way of RNAcentral.
CCUCCAGUGGCUCAGAUGGUAAAGCGUCUGCCUGCAACGCAGGAGACCUGGGUUUGAUUCCUGGGUGGAGAA